Molecule: ribosomal RNA, 254 nt
Filed under: uncultured bacterium
Lineage: Bacteria
Description: partial 16S ribosomal RNA
Rfam family: Bacterial small subunit ribosomal RNA
Source: RNAcentral
CACGUAGGGUGCGAGCGUUGUCCGGAAUUAUUGGGCGUAAAGAGCUCGUAGGCGGUGUGUCGCGUCGGCCGUGAAAACCUGCAGCUUAACUGUGGGCUUGCGGUCGAUACGGGCAUCACUGGAGUUCGGCAGGGGAGACUGGAAUUCCUGGUGUAGCGGUGAAAUGCGCAGAUAUCAGGAGGAACAGCCGGUGGCGAAGGCAGGUCUCUGGGCCACUACUGACGCUGAGAAGCGAAAGCAUGGGGAGCGAACAG